Long non-coding RNA from Orcinus orca (killer whale), 3882 nucleotides. RefSeq lists it as uncharacterized. Lineage: Eukaryota; Metazoa; Chordata; Mammalia; Artiodactyla; Delphinidae. The record is from RefSeq and is a predicted model, not a curated record. The transcript is spliced from 3 exons.
CUAAACACAGCAUGCCCCUACCCCAGUUGGAUCCCAGCCCAAGGGGCGGAGGAAACAGGGACCACACCCCCGCGGGCACGCAGCCUCAUUGGCCAAUCGCCGCUACUGCAGCUCUGCUCUGUUCUUUGAUUGGUUUUAGUGGUGACGCCCCCUCCCGAAUGCCUCGCUCGGAUUGGCUAUUUCUUGGUUCGGACUGGAUGGAGACCAGAGGAGGACAAGAGACUUCUAUGCGGUAUGGAGGGACGAUUUGGGUGACAUCUGAGACGCAGCCGCACUUCAACAAGCGUCCGGGCUCCAGGAACAUGGCGGCGGCCUCUGUGGUGUCGAUGCUGCUGGUGGCGACUGAGAGGAACCAGUGGCAGUCAGUCCAGAGCCCGCUGCUGCUGCUGCCGCUGCCGCUGCCGAGGCAACGAUCCAAAAGGUAGUUCUGGCACUUGGAUACUACUAUGUUGGAGCAACUUGUCAUGCCUGCAUUGUGUGGAACCAGUGUUCAAAAUAAAAUGCAAAAACUUCAGGCUUGUGGAGGAGGGAGCACACGAUGUCCUGGUACUCCAGGGAGGCCAUUUGAUAUGUUAAAUAGAAUAUAUCAUUGUAAGUAUUGCCAUAUUUUUCCUAGGGCAUAUUUUAACCCGUGAUAUUUGGGUUAUGGGAGGGAAAAUAAUUAUCCUAAUCGUUUAAGCCAGUUGCCAUGCAUGAAUAUCUAGAGGUGAUACUAAUACUUUUCUUUAAUAGGCUUUAUUUUUUAGAACAUUUUUAGAUUUAUAGGAAGAUUGAGAAGAGAGUUCCCAGCUUCCUAUAGUGUUAACAGCUUACAUUAGUAUGGCACAUUUGUUAAAAUUAAUGAACCAACACUGACACAUUAUUAUGAACUAAAGUCCAGAAUUUAUUCAGGUUUCCUUAGUUUUCGCCUAAUGCUCUUUUUCUAUUCCAGGAUCCCAAUCAGGAUACCACGUGACAUUUAAUUGUCAUGCCUCCUUAAGCUCUUCUUGGCUGUAACAGUUAUUCAAAUAUUUCCUUUUUUUUGAUGACCUUCACCAUUUUUAAAAAAUUUAUUUAUUUUAUUUAUUUAUUUUUGGCUGCAUUGGGUCUUCAUUGCUACGUGUGGGCUUUCUCUAGUUGUGGCGAGCAUGGGCUACUCUUUGUUGCGGUGUAUGGACUUCUCAUUGUGGCGGCUUCUCUUGUUGUGGAACAUGGGCUCUAGGCAUGUGGGCUUCAGUAGUUGUGGCACACGGGCUCAGUAGUUGUGGCUCGCGGGCUUUAGAGUGCAGACUCAGUAGUUGUGACGCACGGGCUUAGUUGCUCUGCGGUAUGUGGGAUCUUCCUGGACCAGGGCUCGAACCCAUGUCCCUGCAUUAGCAGGUGGAUUCUUAACCACUGUGCCACCAGGGAAGCCUGACCUUCACCAUUUUGAGAAGCACUGGUCAGAUAUUUAGUAGGAUGCACUUGUGUUGGAAUUUGUCUGAUGUUUUUCUCAAGAUAAGACUGUAGUUAUGGGUGUUGGGGAGGAAGACCACAGAGGUAAAGUAACAUUUUCAUCUCAUUCUAUUCUAUCUAUUCUAUCUCAUUCUAUUUCAUCUCAUUCUACCUCACCUGGCUGAGGUAGUUUGUCAGGUUUCUUCACAUAAACUUAUUCUUCCCCCCUCUCCUUCUGUACUGUAGUCUCUGGAAGGAAGUCUCUAUGCACAACCCACUCUUAAGUAAGACUUUUUUUUUCGCUUUCCAAAAUGGAUCAAGAUGCUUAUUUUGGAUGAAGCCAGUAAAAAUGUUGAGCCAAAGGAUUAAAGGUCAAAUCCACGAGAUUUACCAGAAAUCAAACACAAGGACUCAGGUGUGCACGUGAUUUUUCUGCAGCUGGCAGGUUGGGUUCAUUGUUACAAUAUAGCUGUAAAGUGCUAUAUUGUCCUUUCCUCUGCCGAAAGCAAUUGUGUCCUACAAUCUCUGUCUAGCUCAGUUCUGUAGUAAGACAGGGACGCUUGGUCUCAAACAUUAUUUCUCUAAGUAUUAUUAUGAAAACUGUUAUAAUUGAUAUGUCAACAUAGUCAUUGUCUCUUUUUUAAGGUUGUGUUGCUUUCUGCCUUAGUGCCAAUUGAUAUGCUGAAGACCUCAAAAAGUUCCUGAGAAAUCCAUUUCAAAUUCUGGUGAAGAAAGAAGAGCUGACCUCUGAAAAGAAUUGGCAGUGGGAGUCAAUUUGGGAGGAAGGCUGUGGCCUUAAACAUUGAAGAAAAGAAGAAGAUUCUUUGUGACACUGAGCCUUUCUACCAUACUACACUGGAGGAAAUGCCAAUGAAUGUGGAUGACCUAAUUUAAUUCCUGGGAUGAAAUGGUUUUGAAUGUAGUGCUUGCUGUUGGUGAAUAGGCAAUCACAAGGUGCAUCAUGCUUCUUUUGGGGGAAAUAUUUGAAGUUUUGUCUCAAUGCUCGUAACAGAUCAAAAAUAUAGAUUUUGAUAGCAAAGCAACUUCAGCCAUGAGCUCAUGUGAGGAAAGUCAUUGGCUUUAUCCUCUUUAGAAUUAGACUGUUGGGGUAGCUAUAAAAGAUGGGCUUGUACCCAAUCAAAAAAUGGGCAGAAGACCUAAAUAUACAUUUCUCCAAAGAAGACAUACAGAUGGCCAACAGGCAAAUGAAAAAAGUCUCAACAUGGCUAAUUAUCAGAGAUAUGCAAAUCAAAACUACAAUGAGAUACUGCCUCACACCAGUCAGAAUAGCCAUUAUUAAAAAGUCUACAAAUAGCAAAUGCUGGAGAGGGUGUGGAGAAGAGGGAACCCUCUUACACUGUUGGUGGAAAUGUAAAUUGGUGCAGCCACUAUGAAGAACAGUAUGGAGGUUCCUCAAGAAACUAAAAAUAGAAUUACCAUAUGAUCCAGCAAUCCCACUCCUGGGCAUAUAUCCAGACAAAACUAUAAUUCAAAAAGAUACAUGCACCCCUAUGGUCAUAGCAGCACUAUUCACAAUAGCCAAGACAUGGAAACCACCUAAAUGUCCACCUAGAGAUGAAUGGAUAAAGAAGAUGUGGUACAUAUAAUACAAUGGAAUACUACUCAGCCAUAAAAAAGAAUGAAAUAAUGCCAUUUGCAGCAACAUGGAUGGAACUGGAGGUUAUCAUACUAAGUGAAGAAGUCAGAAAGAGAAAGAAAAAUACCAUAUGAUAUCACUUAUAUGUGGAAUCUAAAAUAUGACACAAAUGAACCUACCUACGAAACAGAAACAGACUCACAGACAUAGAGAACAGACCUGUGUUUGCCAAGGCAGUGGGGGUGGGGAGAGGAGAGAUGGAUUGGGAGGUUGGGGUUAGCAGAUGCAAACUAUUGUAUACAGGAUGGAUAAACAAUGAGGUCCUACUGUAUAGCACAGGGAACUAUAUUCAACACCCUGUGAUAAAACAUAUUGGAAAAGACUAUGAAAAAGAAUACAUAUUUAUGUAUAACUGAAUCACUUUGCUGUAGAGCAGAAAUUAACUCAACAUUGUAAAUCAACUAUACUUCAAUUUAAGAAAAAGAUGGGGUUGUAAAUCUUAGAAUUUUAUCUCCUAGUUCUCUACACAUGGUUAUAUUGAGUGUUCACUAUCAUUUAAUAAUAUACUUGUUGACUGAAAGAUACGUGCUGUAUAAAAACAGCCAAUUAUAUUAAACUAGUAUAUCUGCUGUUAUUGUGUUAGCCAUUAGACUGAAUGGAACUAACUUUAAAAUGAUUUUUUAAGAAAAUAUUUGAAUUUAUUUUGUUUGGUAUCGUUUUUAUUCAGUAAGGCAUUUUAUUAGUGGUAAGUGUAAACUAGAGUCUUUUGCUAAACACCAGCAACAAUCAUGUCCUACAGUUAAAUCUCAGAAAAAUUGCUGUAUUGUAUAUUGAAUUUUCAAUAAAUUAAAAUGACGUAUUUUUUCUUUAAA